RNAcentral lists this ribosomal RNA (258 nucleotides) under uncultured bacterium. Its description in RNAcentral is "partial 16S ribosomal RNA". It matches the Rfam family "Bacterial small subunit ribosomal RNA", at positions 524 to 778 of the family's 1533-position model. The record is from RNAcentral.
UACAGAGGUCCCAAGCGUUGUUCGGAUUCAUUGGGCGUAAAGGGUGUGUAGGUGGCGCCGUAAGUCGGGGUGUGAAAUUUCGGAGCUUAACUCCGAAACUGCAUUCGAUACUGCGGUGCUUGAGGACUGGAGAGGAGACUGGAAUUCAUGGUGUAGCAGUGAAAUGCGUAGAGAUCGUAAGGGAAGGCCAGUGGCGAAGGCGAGUUCCUGGACAGUUACUGACGCUGAGGCACGAAGGCCAGGGGGAGCAAAACGGGG